UACGGGGGGGGCAAGCGUUGUUCGGAAUUACUGGGCGUAAAGCGCGCGUAGGUGGUUUGUUAAGUUGGAUGUGAAAUCCCCGGGCUCAACCUGGGAACUGCAUUCAAAACUGACAAGCUAGAGUAUGGUAGAGGGUGGUGGAAUUUCCUGUGUAGCGGUGAAAUGCGUAGAUAUAGGAAGGAACACCAGUGGCGAAGGCGACCACCUGGACUGAUACUGACACUGAGGUGCGAAAGCGUGGGGAGCAAACAGG
RNAcentral lists this ribosomal RNA (253 nucleotides) under uncultured bacterium. RNAcentral describes it as "partial 16S ribosomal RNA". It matches the Rfam family "Bacterial small subunit ribosomal RNA", at positions 524 to 776 of the family's 1533-position model. The record is from RNAcentral.